CCGUGAAAAAAUUAGAGUGUUCAAAGCAGGCAGAUCCAAUUUUCUGCCACCGAAUACAUUAGCAUGGGAUAAUGGAAUAGGACCCUGUCCUCCUAUUUUCAGUUGGUUUUGGCAGCGCGAGGACUAGGGUAAUGAUUAAUAGGGAUAGUUGGGGGCAUUAAUAUUUAAUUGUCAGAGGUGAAAUUCUUGGAUUUAUGAAAGAUUAACUUCUGCGAAAGCAUCUGCCAAGGAUGUUUUCAUUAAUCAAGAACGAAAGUUAGGGGAUCGAAGACGAUCAGAUACCGUCGUAGUCUUAACCAUAAACGAUGCCGACCAGCGAUUAGGAGACGUUGAAUACAAAACACCACCAUCGGCGCGGUCGUCCUUGGCGUCUCGGUUUCGGCCGGGGCGCGGGGACGGCUUAGCCCGGUGGCACCGGUGAAUGACUCCCCUAGCAGCUUGUGAGAAA
RNAcentral lists this ribosomal RNA (448 nucleotides) under Acanthamoeba sp. AcP1. Its description in RNAcentral is "SSU rRNA". It matches the Rfam family "Eukaryotic small subunit ribosomal RNA", at positions 755 to 1097 of the family's 1831-position model. Lineage: Eukaryota; Discosea; Longamoebia; Acanthamoebidae. The record is from RNAcentral.